Long non-coding RNA from Cercocebus atys (sooty mangabey), 939 nucleotides. The record is from Ensembl. Lineage: Eukaryota; Metazoa; Chordata; Mammalia; Primates; Cercopithecidae.
GCCUCAUGAUCACAAAAUGGUUGCUGCACCUCUGGGUAUUACAUCUAUAUUCAAGGCAGGAAAAAGCUGAAGUACAUCUGUCCACUAUAUCAGGAAAGCAAUUUUUAUCAGACUGCCCACUUCCCCGUCAGAUUUUUAGCUACUCUUUAGUCAGAAGCGUGUCAUAGACAUAUCCAGUCAUGAAGACAGCUUGGGAAUUCAUGCACUUAGCUUUCCAGCAUCUAUAGCAGAAGCAGAUCAGGAAGAAAAGGGUGGGAAAAAGGUGUGGAGUUACCCAGUCAACAAUGUCUGCCAAAGGAGAAUGAACCUAAAAGCACUUCAAAGCCAUUUAACAGCAAAUUUUGUUAGCAAAUUAUCUUUCCAAAGCACUUAUCUUAGUUUUCUUAAAAAUGAUCAUGUUUGCGUGGACUGCUCUCCACCGCCAGGUCUCUUCCACAGACCCCUCUCACUUUAGCCCUCAGUCUGUUUCAGUUCCGUCUUUUCUCUCAGUUCAUACAAACAAGGGAGUCGCCCCCAGUGGAGCCCCGGCUCCCCAACAGGAGGCGGGCCCGGGGGCGGAGUCAAUCCUGAAGGCCACGCCCUCUGGGAAAGUGCGGGGCAUGCAAAUUUGAAAUGAAAGCCCGGGAACGCCGGAACAAGCACGAGUGUAAGAUUUCCCUUUUACACGUGGAGAAUAAGAACUCAGCCCAAGUGUGUAAUGGCAUCAAUAGUGGUGUGGACGAGACAAAGGGAAUGAGAUUCUUGAUUAAUUCACCACUUCCCAGCCAUUGGAAUAAGAAGUACCUCUGUAGCGUUUGCUGGUGCCCACUCAGACCUCUGCCUUUAUUUUUGUGGACAAAGAAAAAUUUACAGGUAACUUUUUCUCCCUUUCUAGUCUACAGCUCACAGCCAGCCUAUCAUAAAGCUGCUCAUAGUUUCAAAAAAUUAUUUCAUUCAUCU